Non-coding RNA from Amoeboaphelidium occidentale, 73 nucleotides. The record is from the annotation of a GenBank genome assembly. NCBI's taxonomy places the organism in Eukaryota, Fungi, Aphelidiomycota, Aphelidea.
GCCGCUGUGGCGCAGCCGUUAGCGCGUCUGACUUCGGUUCAGAAGGUCGUCGGUUCAAAUCCGGCCUGCGGUG